RNAcentral lists this ribosomal RNA (300 nucleotides) under uncultured Halobiforma sp. Its description in RNAcentral is "partial 16S ribosomal RNA". It matches the Rfam family "Bacterial small subunit ribosomal RNA", at positions 496 to 795 of the family's 1533-position model. The record is from RNAcentral. Lineage: Archaea; Methanobacteriati; Methanobacteriota; Halobacteria; Halobacteriales; Natrialbaceae.
GCCGAGUAGGUGCGAGCAGCUGGGGGAUUACGGGGGGGCGGGGCGUGGUCCGGAAGUGAGGGGGGUAAAGAGGUCUGUGGGGGUUUGUUGCGUUGUUCGUGAAAACUCACAGCUUAACUGUGGGCGUGCGGGCGAUACGGGCAGACUGGAGGACUGCAGGGGAGACUGGAAUUCCUGGUGUAGCGGUGGAAUGCGCAGAUAUCAGGAGGAACACCGGUGGCGAAGGCGGGUCUCUGGGCAGUAACUGACGCUGAGGAGCGAAAGCGUGGGGAGCGAACAGGAUUAGAUACCCGAGUAGUC